UUCACUCCACAAUGAAUCUGUCUUAUUAGAUACCACAAUAUAACUGUGGUUAAACCCCUCCUAUAAAGCAGCUGCCCACCACAAUAGUAGUGUGGCCUUACUCCCUGUCAUACUUUUCCUCACUUCAUUUUCCAGGCUAUGAAACUCACUAGUCAGAAGGGGAAUAGCAGAAUUAGAAAUAAAUCCCAUAUCCCUUACCUUUUUCCUCUGACCUAGCACUGACAGUGUUGUGUGUUUGCACACAACACUGAAUUUUAAAGACAUUAAAUUCCACUGAAUUUUAAAGACAUUUCUCUUUCUUUACGGUAACUCACUGGGAGAUUAAUUUUUUUGUAUUUUAUGAAUUUUAUAUUACUUUGCUAAGAGGAACAGCAGAUUUGCAAUUUUCAGGCCUUAGAUACUGCUAGAUAUGCAGGGCACUCAAAUAAAAAAUUCCAACUUGGGGCUGUGGUGUUUGCGCAGGUUUAUUCUGGCAUUUUCUUCCCUUUCCAAAGGAAAAACCUCUGUAUCUAGAAUUGCAAUACAGGGAGUGCAGGUGCUUUACUACCCAUUCAUGUGUUUGAGGAAUCCGACUCAGCCUGGGCAUGAGCCCAUUCAGCACUUUUUAGUGUCUGCAACUGCAGUCAGCCUUGAGUUAACACAAACCACACUCCUCACCCACCCUAAACUGCAGGGUAAAUGUGCUACUGGGUAUUGAAUUUUCUCUGCCUGUUAAACCAGACAACUUAUUUUUCAGCUGAGUGAACAUAAAGAGUUUUGUAGAGCUGUGUUAAAAUGCAGCUCAGGUUUAGAGGAAUUACCUGAGGGUACUGAGUGCAUUUUCCCGUGUUAUCUGCUUGAUAAGAGCCAGAUCACUUUUAUUUGUGUAUGUGUGUGUGCAAUAGAUAAUAUGCCAUGAGGAGUCAUUGUAAAGACUCCAAGAAGGCAAUGCUCAGAACAUCUGGCUAGUGAAAGCCCUGGACAUGGAAAAUAUAAAUGUCAAGGCUCAUAUUUAUAAAUUGGAAGGGCCAUGAUGACAUCUGCUAACAAGCUUUCUUCCAGAGCCCAUUUGCUGUACAUGGUUAUUCACAGGCAACAACAAAAACGUGCAUGGAUCACAUGCAUGGCCUGCCCUUCCUUUCAGGAACACACGCUCCAAUAACACACAAAUGCUCUGUUCUCACAACACAGAAAUACAAGUGUUUGCAAACCUCACAGCAAAGCUCUUGCAUACCAGACCUCAGUGGGACACACACUGCUGGAACAGGCUAAAAAUAGCUGGGGAAAAAGCCUUGCAUUAACACAGAAGACAGUCAAACUCACUUAGCGUUAACUCUUCCAGUGAAAUAAGCUCCUUUUCUGCCUUGCUCUACAGGAGACACUUUGUACUACAAAUCUAAUCCUGAAGCCUUGUUUUUAUGCCUGAGCAGUUGUGGAUGGGAAUCUCAAGACUUUAAACAAAGUCUAACCUAUUUGACCAUGGUAGUAUUGAACUACAUUAAAACCAACUACAGUGGCAGCAGAUUAUUAAGAACAACAGAACAAAGUAAAACACAUGGAUCUUUUCAUGUGUUUAGCAGGUAAAAGUGAGGCUGCACAUCUUUUCAGGCCCAUCUGGAGGAUAACAAAUUAACUCUUUGACUUUACAAGGGUAAAGAACUUAUCAGUCACGGCCAGCUGACAGGGAAGGUCUAUUAGCACGGAGAUGCUACAGGUUUGGACAUGAAUGUCAGGACUUCCCGUCGUUACUGAGAUGCAUUAGAGAGCUGUGUGCUGAGGCCAGGUUCCACAGCUUUAAUUAAUAUAUUCUGUGCACUCUGACCAACCUGAUAAUCCAAGAAGCCUCAAUAAAAACCAUCUAGGGAGGGAGGAUAUGUCAUCACCAUAUCAUUUGUUACAGUCAGGAGAUUUACCUCUUGUUUUUACUGUGCUGAGUUACACCGUGCUCCCAUUUUACUUUCACUGGAGGGCUCGUGUACCCGGGGCUGUGCAAAGGGCAUGAUGACAGAACUGCCAGAGCCAGUGCUUGUCUAAAGCAGGCAUUGAGCCAUCUGCUCACCUUAAAGGAGGAUCAAAUGGAAACAGGAAAAACUCAAGGAGGGGAACAUGCAGUGCUCCCUACGCUUGCCUCUCUGCUCAGGGGGAGCAGAGGAUGCCUUCACGGAAGCAAGAUGGCAUGUCUGAGAGAGGCAGGCAGGACUGGGAGGAAGAAGGACCAACUAUGCACUGCUGAACUGCCCAAAAUGUCUUCUUCUGGACACUGUAUAUCCACCAGGGUUCAAAAAAAUUGGGCAAACUAAGAGCAGAAUUUAGGCCAGUUCAGGUUAUAAAGGUUCCCCUUCCACAAAGCAACCAGGAGAGAGCAUUUGCCCAGGAGGUGUUUUGGAACCACUCCAUAUCACAGAAAGCUCUUGUACCCAAACUGACAAACCCUGAAGUUCUUCUGCUGACUGUAGAUAUUUGUAUGCCAUGUCCUGCAAGACAGAGAAGUCCUGAAGCUGUGUCCUCAUCCCUGGUUGAACACAGGGCAAAUAAAUGCAAAGGUGACACUGCUUCCUUGGCUGCACAGGCUGGAGGAGGCAGUGAUCCCCCUCCCCAUGAGCAUCAGGAGGCACUCCCCGAGCAGUGUCCUGACCAGGGAGGCAGACAGGGUAAUUUAAACAAACAAGGCCCCAGUGAUGGAAAUUUCAAGCUCAAAGGUACCAUAUGGAGGGAAAUCAUCUGACCACAAUUUACCUGUUAGACUUCAAAGGUGUCUAGGUCUCCUCUAAAUAAAAGCAGUCUUUUCUUUAAUGAAGUUAAGUACUGUAUUUCAGCACCAUGUGUUGUGAAAAGGAAGCAAUUUGGAUUAAUUUACUGAAACUUACCUUUCAGAUGCAGUUAAGUGGAAUUAAAAGUUUGUCUAAGUUGACAGAGUUCUGUUUUCCAUCACUGCAUUGUCUUGAAAGAAAGGAUAACAGGCUAAGUGCUUAAAUUCCAUCCAAACUGAUAAGGUUCACUCUGUACAGGCAAACUCAGUGUAGUUUAUUACGUAUUGUCUCCCUUCAUCCAUCACUGCUAUACAUUUUUUUCCUCCUAAAACAACUGCUUCUUCCAAAAUGAAUUGAUAUUUGUGAUGCUAUUGCAUUCAUCUGGGGUUGAACAGUCUGCACUGGGCUAUCAGAGAGCUGCCAUUUCUACUUACAGGGAGAAUUAAUUUCAUUUCCCACUUAUGGUAGCUUUUGCAGGGCUGAGCUUACAUCUGGGACGAGAAUUUUUUUUUUUCUCUUCUGAGAACAAUUCUUUGUCCUUAAUUUAUUUCCUGUUGAAGCGUGUGUGUCCCUACCCUCUUUCCAAACAGCACCUUCACCCAGAUUUCUUCCUUGGCAGCGGGAAUUAACUUGCCCAUUGCAUUCUUUCUACAUUUUUUCUUCCCACCACUGUACUUCUCUCUUUCACAUCCCCUAGCUGCCAUUGCUCCUUCCAAACCUCACCCCUCCCCUAAUGCCCUCCCAGUUAAUAACUCCCCUCCCUCCUUUUUCCCAGGAGCUUCCCUCCCUCCUUGCCUUAGGUUCCAGGAUAACUCCCCCCAGCAGCUGGGAGAGGUUCUCUGUUCUGGACAGGUUUUGUUGGCAGCCUUGAACCAUUUGCCUGCUACAGCAAAGGUGCAAUCCUGACUUGCCCUUCACUGACCGCUCUGAAACCACACAGAAAGAACCUCUGUUCUUUCAAUUAACUGAGCAUCUCAUCAUGAAAAGCCAGUGAAUGAUCUGUAAUUAAUUAUUUAUAUUACACGGGGAAGCCUAGCUAACACAGUGUCAACAGAAACAAUGAUACUCUGUAUGCCAAACUGCAGCCCUGCAGCCUGAGGGUUUUGUCUCCCCUCCCUGCUGCCCCAGCUGGAUUUUGGCUAUGGGAGGUAGCCAGGGUUUGAGUCUUGUCUAAGUUCAAAUUUCUCCCAAGGACAGACUUCAGAUCUGCACAUUUCUGCAAAAUCAAGUAGUUGAAGAAAAAAAAUCUUGCUACUUGAAUCUCCAUUCAAUUUUGAUUCUUGACAAGCCAUUUCAAACAGAAACUGCAGUCAGGCAGGACUUUUUCAGUUUGUUUAGAUUUUGGGGGAAGGAGGCAGAAGGGAGAGGAAACCACACAUUUCAUCAGCAUUUUUUAUUUUUUAAUAGUCUUCAGUGCAGCCAAUUACCCAGGAGAUCAGCAAAUCUUAGCUCUGUCAAAGACAGGGAGGAGACAGAGCAGAAGCUUUCUCAUCCUCCACAGCAGUACUAAGCCUCCAACACACAAAUCUAAACACUGUCCACCCAGGGGUGCCAACUCAAAUGCCUCAGCUGUGAAGACAGAACAAAAAGAAAAGGACAAUCUCCAAGGUACAACUGAAAGUAAAUACUAAUAAUGAUGUGUGGCAUUAAAUGAUGACUCAUUUUUCACAAGGCCAUUUCAGAUUGUAGCCAUAACCUUGGAUCAGACCCGAAUGACUGUGAGAGCUGAAGUCUUAGUGGAACCAUUAAUUAUGGAUUUCCUGGCUUUUAUAGGUUGGAGUCAGACCUUUGAUGUUCCUUUAAGAUUGUUCUCCUGUGUUCAUUUCCUUUGUUUCUAUGUUGGUAGCUUAAGAAAACACCCUAAGAUUUCCAUGGAAGUGUAUGAGAUCGCCUAGAAAUGCGUAGUCCAUAAAAGCCCUGCAAUUCAUGGCUCAUAAAGUCCUCUAAUCCAUGGUCAAUAAAGCUUUGGAAAAGAGCUGUAUGAACCAGAGUCAUUUCACAGUUCAAUGAGGUUCAUACAGGAAUCAAUAACCUGGUUUAAAUUCGCCUGGAUUUGUCUUCCACCUGCAUAUUUCUCUUUGACUUUUCAGGUUGAAAGGCAGCUCCAACAGCUGAAUCCUGGGGACCUGGCAUGGAAACAAUGAGUUCUAUGCAGCUUUCCCCCAAAAGCCGUAACAAAGACCUAAAUCCCUCUACUUUGUCUCAAAGGUGAACAAUUCAAGUUUCAGGUGACAAGUGGAGAGUUAGGGAACUGGAAGAACAGCCAUUUGGAAAUACGGGGCCAUAGCUCAAGUUAAUACUAAAUGCAGAGACCUCAGUCCAUACAGAACAUGGGGGACUCCACCUGAAGUGUAGGCAAAUUCACAAUGGAUUUUUGGGACAGGCCAGAGUGAGAACUCCCUAGUACACCAAUUACCCUUCAAAAAUGAGUGCUAAGUCUCAAUUAUUGAGGUAAUGAAAAGAAGUCCAUGUUUCUCUCCUGCACAGGUAACACUCUAUUGCCUGUAUGAUCAGCCACCCUGCUUGUUUCCUCCCAAAAAUGAUCACCGCACAAGGUCUGGUCAUAGACACACAUUUCUGCUCUUUUCUUGCCAAUCAGAAAGGAACCAGUUGGAGAGAACUCACUGUUUAUUGCUUUGUGCAGGGUCCAGCUUGCAAUUAAUGCUGAUGAAACCCAACUGCCAAAAGCACAAUAUGCAGCAGCUGGUUUAUGAAAGUUGAGACCCCAUCCAAUUUAUGGGAAAACCAGAGCUGGUUGUGAGUCCCUGAUUUAGUGAACUUCUAUUUUUUGUGUUUUGUUUUGCUUUGUUUCCAGGAAAACACCAGAAGUUACUCCAGAACUGUAGAAGCACUAAAACCAUCUGAAAGCACUAAGGCAGGCUUCCCUUCUUCCAGCCUUUCCUCAUUUCUAGGCCUGUGAUCUCCCACUAAUAUCUCCCUGGGAUCUUUCAGCAAGGCAGGCAACCCACAGUGUCUGGUUCAUCACCAGCAUGGUGGGAGCAGAAACUUGUGUUUCCUCACCCCAAUCUCCACCCUUAUGAAAUGGAAAUAGAGGGAUAAAAGGCUUUGAUUCAGGUGAAAUCUCACAGGAGCACAGAGCAAAUAAUUUAACUCUAACCUUCAGAACUACCUCUUAAAUCCUUUUCCUAGGAACAUUUAAUAAAACCAGCAAAAGGCUCAAAAAUCAUAACCACCACUUUAAGUUCCCAACUGCAUAUUUCCACUGCCAAUAUCCAAUAUGCUUUCUGCAUAGAUAGGAUAGGGGUAGAAGGAUUGUGCCCAAGUACCAGGCUCCCACCAGACCUAUUUGAACACCUCACUUGUACAACACAUGAGGAACUGGACCACAGACCCUUGUGAAAUGCUGGGACAUCAUGGGACACCACAAGUCAGCAGCCUUCAGUCAGGACAGAAAAAUCCCUUGUAUUUGAGGCAAUCAGCUGUGGUGAACUAAAUGCCACCUAGUUCAUGCUUAAACAUCCUCUGUGGAGGGGAUCCAAGCACUGAACACACUUUGAAAAGAAAAUACAUGAAUCCUUCUUACAAGGCUGGCACUGACCUGAGAAACAGCCUUAUUACAUUAAGAUUAAUAUGCACCACCUUAAUAGCAACCCUUACAUCAUUCACCCUGAGAAAACAAUAAACUACAAAAAAUGAGGUAACUGCUCCAUUAAAAAGAAUGAAAAAAAUUGUAAUAAUAAUAAAAAUCUGAAAACACAAAUAUGUGAAGCUUUUUUUCUUAGCAAAGGGAGAAAUCUCUGAGAGACUUUCAAGGAAUUUAAGUGCUAUGAAAAUGGGAAUACGUAAUGCUCAAAGAUAAUUAUUAUAUGUGUAGGUGAGCAAUCAGUUCCCAACAUAUUACUUAGUUCCUUUUACUUGUUAGAAGAUCAAUAAACAUUGUGGCUGUUUGUCUGCCCAUGAUUUGGCCUGGAUAAAGGCACUAAGAGCUUUAGAGGUGGGAGAAUAAAUUGCCCAGGAAUCCUAAAAGCACACAUUGAGAAGCCCUGGUCAAACAUGAAGGUUCUUAUUCAAACAUUGAAUGGGAGUUUUUAACCUCAGACCAAGAUUGGAAUAGCCAUGGAAAAGUGCCUACCUCCAUUCUCUUCACAUAGAGGAUUUAGUUAAGUACUUCAUUUUGCUUCAGUUUGCUACUUUCAGGUCAGUCUGAGAUGUUAAAACAUUUCAGCCCCACAACAUAGUUAAGAAGGUUGAAAGUUCGAUUUGUCAGAAACUUUAAAAACUCUCAGGAAUAUUCUGUAUGGUUGGAAAAUAGGCAAGCCUUUGUGAUGAAAACUGCUGGUACAGAUAGGAAAAGAAUUAUUGGAAGAAAAAGGACAAGUACAGAGUAUUUUCUAUUGUUGUUUUUUUCUUGCUUUUCAGUCUGACAAGUCUUUGUUUCAGUGUAUUUUAAAUAUUUUAAGCAUUAACUCUUUUUUUCCUAUUUAUUUUUUGAUCAAACAUGCCUAUGAACACGCUUAUUUUUCUCCUAGCUCUUCAUUAGGCUACAAAAAUAUAAUCUCACUCCCUGUGUGUCCCAGUUAGCCCUUGUCCAACCCUCCCUAUGGUCUAAGCAGCAAGAGCUGGGAUCUGCAAAGAGCAUCAAGUUAGGAGCCAGCAGGAAGAGGACAGGGACCACAGCAGUCAUGACUCACCUGUCUUCUAUCCGAACCCAGAGGUCAUUGAACUGCCUCUGGCGAUGGUGUUUGUGCUGCUUCUUGUGCCAUUUCUUCUGCCUGCCAAACUCCUCCAGCUGGCUGAUGCUGUCGGGCAACAAGAGUCAGGACUGGGGACAAGGAGGCCUAGGCUGAUGACAGAAGCAUGGAAGCUUGGCAGCUGGGAUGGGAUAUGUGAGACCUGAACUCCAGCAGGUAAUGAAGAAAAAAGGGGAAAUGACCUGUCCAAAGCCUCCUUGAAACAAUUCUGCCAGAGCCCUUCAAUCCUGUCUGAAGUAUUACCAUCUCUUGUACAUGACUGGAAUGAUGCAGAAAAAGGCCAUUUAUUUUCAUCUUCUAGAGUUUCACUGAUUUUAGAAGAAAGUCAAUAUAAACUCUCUCCUUUGGUAUGCAGCCAUGUGAACUUAUUGUGAGCUAAGACAGCUGAAACAAAAAACUAAUAAACCAGGACUGACAUAAAGUUAUUUUUCCCCCCUAACUUCAGUAGAAGUUCAUAUUGAGUCUUAAUUGCAAGAAAUUUUCCUGUCCCUGGGAUGGGCCAAUGAGUUGUACAUACAGAAAAUGGGAGAGAAUUAAUAGGCAAUAUGAAGCUGUGGUCUGCAAAACUAUUUCUAUUACAUGGAUGCUAUGACUUUUAUGACAGAAACAAUUAAAGCCACGUGAAAAAUUUUGCCUCCUGAGUGAAACCAGUAAGACAUUUUAAUGAAAAAGUAAUAAAAAAUCCUAAACUUCAUUGGUGACAAUGUACAAAAUGUGCCGCAAGUGAAACCACAUGUUUCAUUUAUGGAACAUUUUGUUCUCUUCCAAAAAAGUCACAUCUACUACUAAUGAAAGCUUUUUUUCUUUUUGACUUUCUUUAAGUCUGUUACAAUACCAGUCUUGAUGGUCACCUCUAUUUCCACUGCAUUGUGUUUCAUCCGAAAGUCUUUCCAAUACCUACUGAUAAUUAAUUAUUGUUACUAUGAGACUCACUGGCAGAUACUACAGUCACUUUGUCACUUGCAGCCAACAUCCAUGAAGUUCUCCAGAGAUCAUACAGCGG
Long non-coding RNA from Passer domesticus (house sparrow), 8444 nucleotides. RefSeq lists it as uncharacterized. Lineage: Eukaryota; Metazoa; Chordata; Aves; Passeriformes; Passeridae. The record is from RefSeq and is a predicted model, not a curated record. The transcript is spliced from 3 exons.